UGUAGUAAGUUAUACUGUUUAUCAUGUUUUAAUUUGGUGGGAUCACAAAGUAGGACAUAAUGAGAUCGACAACAUCUGAGGUCCAUGGAGGGUUAAUAACGUUUUGUCGACAAUAAAUGUUACUACCAUAAUUAACCCAACUUCAAGAAUAUGGAGAUUCGCUUUACAAGCUCUAUCCAAAAAGUAUCCAUAUCUUCUUAUCAGACUCUGCCAGACAGUCUUAAUGGAAAUGAGGUGAAGAUGUGUCUGCUGUUGAUGCCAUUUUGGAAUUGGAUAACAGGAACAGGAAGUGGACAUUUGGAAUGGAUUGUGGGAUUUAACAUGGACGUUAAAGUCUUAACGCUGCGUUAACUAACGUUAACGUUAACUUUAACACACCAUCAUGUGUAAGCUUACGAUAAAAUAUAGUCUAUUGAUGUAAAGCAACAGUCCAUAAUAUCAUUUCUAAUUGGCAUAAAUUACUAAAAUGCAAAUAAACACACACAAUCGGAAAAUCAA
Long non-coding RNA from Dreissena polymorpha, 498 nucleotides. RefSeq lists it as uncharacterized. The record is from RefSeq and is a predicted model, not a curated record. The transcript is spliced from 3 exons. Lineage: Eukaryota; Metazoa; Mollusca; Bivalvia; Myida; Dreissenidae.